Non-coding RNA from Brugia pahangi, 132 nucleotides. NCBI's taxonomy places the organism in Eukaryota, Metazoa, Nematoda, Chromadorea, Rhabditida, Onchocercidae. The record is from Rfam.
GCACGGAUGGCCGAGUGGUCUAAGGCGCCAGACUCAAGCAAUAGUGUUUAUGCUUCACACGAGAAUCUCAAAGUGUGUCUGGGGUGUUCUGGUAUCGUUAUCGAUGCGUGGGUUCGAAUCCCACUCCGUGCA